CCAGCACCAGCACCAGCACCAGCCUCCGCCCCAGCGACCUCGACGACGGUGCGAGGGCACUGCCAUGGGCGCAAUAGUUCUCGAUCUCCGCCCUGGUCUUGGUAUCGGUCCCUUCUCUCUCGGGAUGCCUAUAUGCGAAGCGUUUGCCCAAAUCGAGCAGCAGCCUAACAUUUACGACGUCGUUCACGUGAAGUAUUAUGAUGAGGAGCCUCUUAAACUUGACAUUGUGAUUAGCUUUCCUGAUCAUGGUUUUCAUCUUCGGUUUGAUCCUUGGUCCCAGGUACUAAGUUAAUUUUCUUGUCAGGCAAAUUUCUUGCGUGUGUUCCCAUCUUUGUUAAUUAUUUUACAUCUUUGACAAGGAAUUUUCAUUUUGUUUGCUUUAACUUCAUAUCUCUGAAAUGUGCCCUUUAUUGUUGGCUACAUCUAAGCUAGUUUGUUUACUCUUAUUCUGGUUCUGUUAGAGACUACGCUUGAUUGAAAUUUUUGAUGUUAAACGCCUGCAAAUGCGCUAUGCCACUUCCCUUAUUGGGUAGGCUGUCUGAACUUUUUUUUUUUGGGCUUUAUUUAUGUGUUUUAUGAUUGUUGGCUGUUGUUUUAACAUUUAGGGGACCGUCCACUCUAGCUACUUUUGUAGCCGUAUAUGCACUCUUUGGGCCAACCUUUCCUGGAAUUUAUGACAAAGAUAGAGGAGUGUACACUCUGUUCUACCCGGGCCUAUCCUUUGCAUUUCCAAUUCCUAGCCAAUAUACAGAUUGCUGCCACGAUGGAGAAGCGGAACUGCCACUGGAGUUUCCAGAUGGCACUACACCAGUAACAUGUCGUGUGUCUAUAUAUGAUAGCUCUACAGAUAAAAAAGUUGGUGUCGGAUCAUUAAUGGACAAGGCUUCUGCUCCUCCACUACCUUCGGGCAGCCUUUACAUGGAAGAGGUGCAUGUUAAGCUUGGUGAAGAGUUAUAUUUUUCCACAGGGGGGCAGCAUAUUCCUUUUGGUGCAUCACCACAGGAUGUUUGGACUGAAUUAGGUCGUCCUUGUGGAAUUCAUCAAAAGCAGGUAGACCAAAUGGCCAUUCACUCUGCUUCAGACCCUCGGCCACGCACAACCCUUUGUGGAGAUUACUUCUAUAACUAUUUCACUCGUGGUUUGGACAUCUUAUUUGAUGGACAGACUCAUAAGAUCAAGAAGUUUGUUUUGCACACAAACUACCCUGGUCAUGCAGAUUUUAACUCAUAUAUAAAGUGCAACUUUGUUAUUCAAGUAAAUAAUUCAAAACAUAUUACGCCAAGCACGAAGUGGGACCAAGUUAAGGAAAUCCUUGGAGACUGUGGCCGAGCAGCUAUCCAAACACAGGGUUCUACAAGUAAUCCUUUUGGAUCCACAUUUGUUUAUGGUUACCAGAACAUUGCCUUUGAGGUGAUGAAAAAUGGUUAUAUUGCAACUGUAACUCUCUUCCAGUCUUGAUUAUUUUCCUUUCUGGUACACCUUGCUAUGCAUUUAUCUCUUUAGCAAUUCUAUGUGCUUUUUGUAUUGGUGUUUGUUUUUUUGAUCACUUUAAAUUUAGUUGAAAAUCAUCCAAAAUGUUUAACUGGAUUUGCCCCUAAUUUUUUUGAAGACCCUUAAGCUUGUAGAAUUCAAUUUCAUGGAGAAAAAAAAAUUGAACAUCUCUGUAGGGUGGAGAAUAUGAUUAAAAGAGGCUGGAUUAAGUGAGGAUUCAAUUCAUUCAUAAUAAUAAUUAGUGGGAUAUAAUAUCAAAUAUCUUAAAGGCCCUUCAGAGCAACUUUGUAAUUAAUUUAGAUAUUAUGGGAAAUUAGUUAGAUCCUGUUCAUUUUCCUUUACAAUCAGUAAAUUUAGUUGAAUGUGUCAUAUAUCCUAAUAAAAUCAUAUUGUUAAACAUAUGAAUUGAAUUACAAAAUCAUUUGAAUUGAAGUCUGCUAAAAUUGCAUUUGGAUAGUUGGGAUUUGAAAGGAAAGAAUCUGAAUGAGCUUUGCACAAAUUUUCUUUGAUUAUUAGAUUCAUGAAUGUUGGUCGGGUGUUUCCAUAAAUUGAGAUCAGAUUCAUAAGUGUGGAUGAUCAUUUGUUUGAAAAUGAAUUUACUCAAGUGGUGGAAUUUGAAUACACCCUCUAAAAUUUGGUUGGAACAUAAUUUUAUACUCUUUUACAAGUUUAAAUCACAAGUUUUGCAAUUUUAACCAACAUAAAAUCAAAUCCUUGUAUUUCAAAUUUUUAACAGCACAACCUAAUUAAUCACCAAGGUUGCAUUUGGAUACAGAAUUUGAAAUCUAAGGAUUUGAAUUUGGUCUUUAAUUCAAAUUAUAUGAACAAUGAUUUAAACUUAUGAAAAAGAGAGAUUUUAUUUUAGCAAAUCUUAGAGGGUGAUUUUGAAAAUUAUACCUUAGUAGUAUGCAUUUCAAAUUCACCAUCAAACACGUCUUAAUCAUCAUUCUUGAAACUGACCUUCUUUCAGUGGAUAUGUCCAGUUAGAGAAAAUGUAUAUAUGAUAAAUGCUAGAACUAACAUCAAUGCAAGCCCUCACCUAUCCAAACAUAUGCUUAAGUGGAACCGAAGUGAAUUCAAUUAUGUGAUCUGUUCCAAGGGGGGGUGUUUACAAUUCUUUGUGCACUAUUAUUUCAUGUUAAGAUCCAACUAGAUUGCCAUGGGUAGAACUCCUUUUUACUAUUUUGGACUGCUCUCCUCAAUUGUCACUAGUCACUAUAAUCUUGUUCUUUGUGAGUGUUUUGUUGUAGCCAAUAAUAAUACUGAUUGGAACUUCAAUAAUUUCUCAAACUUAAGUGAUGCUGUCGCUUGUAGUGGGUGGAUAUUGUUCAGUUAAUUCAGUGGAAAGCAGCGCAAGUUGCCACAUCAUCUUCACGUGGGGAUUGGGGGAGCAGUGUUGGAAUUGUGAAUAUUACUGUAUAUUGUUCAUUUGUACAUAUGAUUAAGUACCUAUCUUAUGUAAUUCUUAAUAAAUUAUGCAAGCCUGUACUUCUCAACUCUAAUUGCAUCAACACGGAUGUCUAUUUGGUGCUGAAAUUGUUCAAAUAGUUGAUCUUGCGAACGUGCUGAAAGCCCUUGGCCAUAGUUUUUAAGGAACAACUGAGCAAACAUUUUUUAUUUGAAUUAUUAGCAGGUGGUCUCAUUGACAUCUCUUAUCAAGAUAGAAUGUUAAUCUUACAAUUUUGAUCGACGUUGAUGUGCUCUGAAUAAGGUUGAAGAUUUCAUGAUCUGGGAAGCCAUUCAUGGCCAUCAAUGAAACUAAUUGAAAUAAACGGCUUGGCCUCUUGAUCAGUGAGCUCCCUAGACCAUGACACUCUUCCUCCAAAAUCUGCCCCUGGCCCUGAACACUUGUACUGUCCAUAAAAUACAGUCAUUUCCCUGUUUUUGUCUCCCCAGUCAGACCAUCCUCCAGGAGUAAUGAUCUUGUCCAUGUAAGUGUAUGCGAAGACAACUCUUGAGAAAGUGCCCCAUGCUCUGCCCAAAUAGAGAGCACCUGACCCUGUAACCUUGCAAUUGACGAAGGAGAAGCCCGUUUCUUGAAGCAAGCUUUCUCUUUUCUGUGCUGUCAAGGCCCCAAAACUAUUCGUGAUAGCAUGCAAAUGGCAAUCCUCAUAGAGUGAGAGCCCAUUUCCAAAUAUGAAAUCGACAGAACCUUCAAUGUAGCAUUCCUUGAAGUAAUGUCUGCCAAUGUGAUCAUAAAGGGUGUCUUGUGCUCCAGUGAACUUGCAGCCAAUAAAUGCGGCAGUGUCCGCUGAAAUUCGGAGCGCAACUGCCUGCUUUCCCAGAGCUCCCGAAGGUGGCGAUGGGGCCUUGUUCUAUAGUGAAGCACUUGAAAUUUUAUCAAAAAUAGCUAGCCUAAAUGACUAAUAAGCUUGAGUAGAAAGGGUAGUUCGCAAGGUAAAAUGGGUAAGGAGUGAACAGAGAAAGAAACUAGCGAAAUAAUCAUAAUAUAAAAUCAGAAAAUAUUGCAACUAAUAAAAAGAUUAUAACGCUGACCUUGAAGGUAAUGUUCUUUGCAAUAAAAUAAGGAGAAUUAAUGGCAAAUGUUGGAGAGCCAUAUGUACCCAAUGGAUGUCCUCCAUGCCCCAUUUUGUCUGCUGUAUCAUCCCACUCAAUGAUCGUCUUGUCUGCUCCAGCUCCCGUUAGGGUAAUGUAAGCCAUGCUUGCAGGAAUCUCAACCUUCUCCCUGUAAGUUCCUGCGCUAAUGGAGACAAUCACCCUGCAGUUAUUGACAACUGGUAUAGAAUUGAGAGCUUUUUGCACAGUUGUUAAACCUCCUGAGCUUAAUUUUUUGUUCACUUUUAUGGUUAAACAAGGCUUGAACUUGUUUUUGGCUUUCUGGAAGAAAGCUUGCUUGAAAGAAUCCAAUUGUUUUGCUUUUAGCCAUUUCUGGUAUCCUUCUUCAGAUGCCAUAAACCUAUUAGAAUUUGACCCAUUUGGAGUAAACAAUGAAUUUGCAAUAUUUGCAAGCAAAAACAACAUAAACAACAGCUUCAUUUUCUCUGGUUUUGGCACCCAAAAAAAAGAAAAAAGAGGACUGGGAGAAGAAAGUUGUUAAAAGAAAUAUACUUUCUAGUGGUUACUGAAAUCUUGCAACUAUGAGAAGAUAAGGAAGACGAGGUGCUUAGAAUGAGAAAUUUUGAAGACUAAGUAGAGAUAGAGAAGGGCAGAGGCGUCAGGCAGAGUAUGCCUAUACGUGCAUUCUCUCUUCUCACCGUACCCAUUGGACCUAGCAGUGAAUUUUUAACUUCUAGUAAAUUGUACUACAGCACUCUUCUCUUUUAGUCUGUUAUUGUUUUGUCAG
Molecule: unclassified non-coding RNA, 4795 nt
Filed under: Hevea brasiliensis (rubber tree)
Lineage: Eukaryota; Viridiplantae; Streptophyta; Magnoliopsida; Malpighiales; Euphorbiaceae
Source: RNAcentral